UGGGUUUCUGAACAGUGAAAGAAAAUGACAUGAUUUAAAUGACAGUCAUGGACACUGGAGCAGGAUGAAAUAGAUUGAAAUGAAAAGUCUAAAAAUGGAACAGCCCGCGAGGCAGCCACAGUGACUUGAGACUGCUGAUGGCCGGGCGUGGGGCUCAGAGAAACUCAGCUCAGUGGGAAGUGCCUACAUCCCCGGGCCCCAGGUGAAGAGGAAGGGGUGGGCUACAGGGGUCCGUCCAGGGGUUCUCUUCCACUCUCUUGAGGCACUUUCUUUCUUUCGUCUUUAGCACUCUCUUCCUCAGUGCCUCUGUCAAAGAGUGAGACCCAGACCCACAAGACACAGGAAGGAUGGUCAUAGGCCUUUUCAGAGUAACAGUUGCUGGCAGGAAAGCACCACGAAAACCACCUGGCCUUAGCUAGUCUGCACAAAGGCUGAGAAGUCCAGUCAAGGAUGGGAGACUCUCCAGCAGAGAACAAGCUACCUCGGGAUCAAGCAUAUUUCUAAAUCUAUGGGCAGAGGACGAGAUGAUUAAAAAGCAUUACCAACUCAAUGGACAUGAGUUUGAGCAAACUCCAGAAGAUAGUGAAGGAGCGGGAAGCCUGGGAUGCUGCAGUCCAUGGGGUCAUAAAGAAAGAGCUGGACACAACUUAGCCACUGAACAAGAAGAAGAAAGGAGAGUCUCAAAGCUGUUUGUCUUAAGAAGACACAACUUUAAAGCUGAACUGUUUGAAGCAAACCCUACUCUUUGGCUCAUGAAUCAGAAUUGCCUGGUGUAAGUUGAGAGAGCCAGUGAAGAAUGUGUGUUGCACCUGAAGAUGUGUUUCCCACCCUGGGAAGAACAGCAUGAGAGAUCUCUGAAGCACAGUGAGGGCUGCGGGCGAGGGUCGCAGAGCUCGGGCAGGAACCGGGUCGAUGCAGGGCUGCUGCCAUGUGACGACGGCUUCUUCCCUUCGGCCAGAGGAGCAUUACUCAAGGGAGCAAAGUACACACUCUGAACAGUGUCAAACCACAAAAUAGUUUUGCUCCCUUUUCUUUCCUUUUGCUUUCUUAACACCCUGGACAAAAACAGUGGAAGGCAAAACUGAAAGGAUGUCACUCUACAAAAAUUGAAAGUGUUAUGUCAAUACCACAACACAAAUGGUGUCAGAAAAUGGAACAACCGUGUUUGUGCUUAUACAGUCUGCUCAUAGCAUCUGAGUCCUUAGUUACCAGGGAAAAGGCAACAUGGUGGUAACUCUGCAAGCAAAUUAACCAGCAUUCUGUCCCUUGGAUGAGCAGCUACAAUCACGAUAUGGGAGGAAAGAAACAGCAAGUCAGACCAAACUACAGCCCUUGAGCAUCAUAUCGGCAGUAAAACAAUGCCUAAUUCUUUAAAUAUUAAGGGUGCCAAGUCUCCUUUCACGUUUUACGUGUGAUAAUACAAAUUCCAUGACUCCCUCUCUGUUAGGCUACACGGUCUCUGAAGUCAGAGUUUUUAUUUAUCUUUAUUUUUCCCCCUA
RNAcentral lists this long non-coding RNA (1499 nucleotides) under Capra hircus (goat). RNAcentral describes it as "lncRNA (ENSCHIG00000004877.1)". The record is from RNAcentral. Lineage: Eukaryota; Metazoa; Chordata; Mammalia; Artiodactyla; Bovidae.